Molecule: ribosomal RNA, 482 nt
Filed under: uncultured bacterium
Lineage: Bacteria
Description: partial 16S ribosomal RNA
Rfam family: Bacterial small subunit ribosomal RNA
Source: RNAcentral
AUUGAACGCUGGCGUCAUGCUUUACACAUGCAAGUCGAACGGUAACAGCACUUCGGUGGCUGACGAGUGGCGAACGGGUGAGUAAUACAUCGGAACGUGCCUAGUAGUGGGGGAUAACUACUCGAAAGAGUAGCUAAUACCGCAUGAGAUCUAAGGAUGAAAGCAGGGGACCUUCGGGCCUUGCGCUACUAGAGCGGCUGAUGGCAGAUUAGGUAGUUGGUGGGAUAAAAGCUUACCAAGCCGACGAUCUGUAGCUGGUCUGAGAGGACGACCAGCCACACUGGGACUGAGACACGGCCCAGACUCCUACGGGAGGCAGCAGUGGGGAAUUUUGGACAAUGGGCGCAAGCCUGAUCCAGCAAUGCCGCGUGCAGGAUGAAGGCCUUCGGGUUGUAAACUGCUUUUGUACGGAACGAAAAGCCCUCUUCUAAUACAGGAGGGUCAUGACGGUACCGUAAGAAUAAGCACCGGCUAACUACGUG